AGCUUCCUGGGAUCUUUGAUGUUGAUUAUGUGUCUGUUCAGCUAAAGUACUCAGGCGUACUGGAAACAAUCCAAAUACGGAAAGAAGGUUUUCCGAUCAGGAUUCAGUACUCAUCCUUCGUUGAGAGAUAUGGGUUUCUACUGAACCAGCAGUACAGCCACCUGGCAGAGAUCGAGCUGACGGCGACUCUGCUGAACAUGGUGGAAGCUGAGGAGGGACAGUACCAGCUGGGACGCACCAAGGUGUUCCUAAAGGAGUCUCUGUACCAGAAGUUGGAGGAGAAAUGGAGCAGCACCCAGACAUGGGCAGCCGUCACAAUCCAGAGGAACAUCAGGGGCUUCCUCUGCAGAAGGAAUUUCAAGUUUUUCAAACAAAAAGCGAUAGUUCUUCAGAGUCACAUCCGUGGACAUC
Long non-coding RNA from Cyprinodon variegatus (sheepshead minnow), 411 nucleotides. RefSeq lists it as uncharacterized. The transcript has 3 exons. NCBI's taxonomy places the organism in Eukaryota, Metazoa, Chordata, Actinopteri, Cyprinodontiformes, Cyprinodontidae. The record is from RefSeq and is a predicted model, not a curated record.